CUGGCGUAGUGUAGGUGAUGUGUAAUUCAAGGAUUUGAAUUAGUGGUUAAAUCCUUCUAAAUAAGGAGAUUGGAUGUAGCUACCAAGUUGGUGGUGAACCAUGAUAAAUCUGUUUGUGUCACUUUACUUAUGCACCCUUAAGUUUAUUGUUGCCUAUGAUUUCUUUAAGUAUGAUUGUUAUUGCUUCUGUUCUAAGAAAAUCACCAAACCCGAAACUGUUCUUGAAUAAAUAAUUAAAAAAGAAUCCAACUUAGACAAACACAAUUCAACCCCAUAUUCUAGUGUUUGCACCUUCAUAAAUUUCCUCUCUUUAAAAUUACAUUCAAAGUGAUUAUUUACCAAACCCUUGAUCGCAUCCACCUAUUCCACCCAAUUAUCUCUAUUCUACAAAGCAAUGAUUUGAUUUUUCCUUCUCCGUUCCUGCAAACUUGCAUGAAAUAAACUUAGUGUUAGCAUUUCCCUCCCUCACCCACUUCUCUCUUUAUUUUUUGUCUCAAUAAACACCCAUUAGGUCUAAUUUUUUUCAAAAUCUCUUUUCCACCUCCUUUCUCUUAUCAGUAUCCACAUCAACCUCCUCAUCACCCGCCAAGAUAUCCAAUCCAUUAAGUUCUUUGACUCUCUCCUCUAUGUCUGACCCUAUCCACCCAAACACUUCUCUAUUCAAACAUCUCAAUUUAUAUUUCAAAAGUUUCAACUUUUCAUUCAAAACAAAUGCAUUUCUCUCUUCCACAUGGAAGGAACUCCAACACUUUUCAACAAACGACAAGAAUUCUUUGUGUCCCUCCAACAGUUGUUAUAUAUGAAGGGUUUAGGACCCCAAUUGUCAAUGGAUUAUUUCAACUAGAUAAGAAAAUGGUUAGAAUUAUCCCUAUUUCCCAUCCACUGACCUACUACCUUCCACAUUUUCACCACCUUUAGAUAGAAGGAAUCUAUUGAUUCUACUCAUAACAUUCAUGUCCUAUCUAAAAUAAUAGUAAAGUUUUUUCUUAGUGGUGGAACAUCGAUCAAAUUCAUAUCCUUCAUGAAAUCAGCAGAAUUCCCCCAUUUGAGAAGAAUUUCAACCAAUUUUCACCCAUUGCCUUUCUGAUUUAAGCAAGACUGCACUAAAAUCACCUCCCAAACACCACUCCCAUUUCUUACCGCCACUCUUCAAAUCCACCAAAUCAUCCCACAACCUCCUUUUUUCCUUCAAUUGAACUUGGAAAGUAUAUAUUUACUAUAUAAAAGACAUAUCCCUCAUUUUAUAUAAAAACCCUCACGAAACCAUCACCAUUCAAAUUAUAUUUCACUGUAAACAUCUCAUCAUCCCAAAUUAUCAACACUUUUCUAAAAAAACCUUGAGAGAGUUUCAUCAUCCAUUUUGCUUUUUUCAAUCCCCCCAAACUACUAGUUAAUUCCUUAAACACAUUAAACUUUCGUUUUCUUUUCAAAAGUCACAACCCAACAAUGGAUUUGUUGCCAUUGUUACUCUUGCUCUUUGUAUCACUCUUCGAGCUCAUACAUUUUCCAUGACACAUUGUCAUAUGAUAUUUUUUUGGACAAUACAAUGCUUAUAACAAAUCAUUUAUAAUAAUGUGACGAACACAUUGGAAUAUUAAUCAUAAUAUAGAAACUAGAAAGUGAUUGGACUGCUCUUGCAAGAGCGUGAACAAUCUCAUUGACUUAUCUUCUAUCAAGAUCAACAUGAGAAUAUCUAUAAAAGUUCCAAUAGAGACGUUUACAAUCUUUGAUAUAGCCCCAAAUUCAGUUACGUGAUUCUUAUUGUUGUAGAAGACGUCAACCACUUUUUUCGAAUCUAACUCAAUUAUCUAGUACUAGGGGCAAUCAUGAACCCAACGCAAGGUGCUUCACCCAAAUCCACAACACAUAAUGAUGAAAACCAGCUUGUUCUUUCCAACACAAAGUGGCCAAAUUGAUCUCUAUAUCAAUGUUAAACUUGUAGCGACUUGUGACUAGUUUUACCCAACAGAUUCGUUUGCAGUCGCUAUUGUUAUAACAGCCAAAUCCACAGGUGAUGCUAAAACAAGAACUGUCACGCAGACAACCUUCCAAUCAUUAAGAAGUCGAGCUGCUCUCACACAAAUUUGUGUGUUGGUCACCAAUAUGUUGUUCCAAAGUUUAGUAUAAGUUGUAUUUUUAAUGAAUAUAAAAAUGAAACAAGCUCACUCAACAGAUGCUAGAGAUUCAAAAUGGUAAAAUCUAAACAUAGUGAUUCAAACUCAGACCCUUGUAAUUGAUCUUUCAACUACAUUUAUAUCUAAAAACUUAAGGAUAAAGUGCUUAAGAAUUUAAUCAAUAUUUUAUUAAAUUAAAAAAAAAUUGAUUAAUAAUUUUCUAACUUCCAUUUAACAGAAAGACCUAAUUAAAAAUAAUAUAAUAAUUCAGAGACAUGUUUAGAAAUUGCUUUUAGUUGAAUAACCUAUUUAACAAUUCCAAAAUAGUUCAACCACUUCUAAAAUAAACUUGUUACAUUUAUUGAAGAGAGUACAACUAAAAGUGUCGUGAAUUUGUCAAUUUGCAAGCUCAAUUGAGAUGAGUGACAUGCAACCCACAAAGUUUAUUUGCAAGAAGCAAACGUUUUUACUAAUUUGAAGGAAAAAGUUGAACAGACGUUGGAUAUGCUUCAAUUCCAGUCUUUAUUAUACAUGAAAACGAAACUAGUCGGAGACGCUUAGAAAGGUUACAACAAAAAGCACCAGUGAUCUAGUGGCAGAGUAUUCGGCGAUAAUUUCAUAUAUGCGGGGAUAGCUCAGUUGGGAGAGCGUCAGACUGAAGAUCUGAAGGUCGCGUGUUCGAUCCACGCUCACCGCAUCUCAAUUUUUGCUUUUUACUCUCUCAUUCGAUCAAUCUUUCCCAGCCUCAAAUUUGCAGGGAACUAAACAUGUUUAACACUAGUAACUAUGAAGAGGAAAGAAAUGGAGAAGAUUUUAACUCGUGUUUGGUUCUUGACUGAGUCUCAUUAUUCAUCAGAUGUACCUGUCAAAGCCAAAUGGGACCUCACCUUCAGUAUGAACUCAAAUCUGAUAUUGUUUCCAGUGGCAUGUUUGGCCUUGUUACAGGCGAAGAUGAUUUAUUUGCUAAUACCAUCCUCUUACGCCUUGCUGAUGGCUUUAGGAGAGGCAACACGGAGAUCAGGCUUUCUGUUGUCAGAGUUUUCUUGAUCGACCGAAAGCACCAAGAUAACAGGAAGCACAAGCAGUGUAAAUGGUUGUUGUCAAUGGCCAGAGUAGCUAACUACUUGGAGUUGUUGAAGCGGGUGAAACUUUUUUCAACGGUGGAGAUUCAGAGUCCAAGGCUAGCUCUGGUUCUGUUUGGUUGUUGGGCUGAUUUUUCCAAUGCCAAUGCCCAGACAUGAUACUUGAUACUUUCCAGCCUUGUUUCUCCUCAUGAUUGUGAGGUAAGACUAGCACCAACUUAUGAUCGAAGGUGUGUUUGCUGUCUAACACCGAUACAUAUCAUUACAUUCAAUUAAUUCAAUUUUUCAAAUUAUUACUGGUGUCGGUGUGUCAUUAUCGUGCCCGGUAUUCGUGUUUGUGUCAGUAUUAUGAGUGUAUUCAUUUCAUUAUGAACGGGUGCGUUUAUGCUUUGACAUAUAAGGUUGUUGGCCAGUUUUUAUGCAUAUAAGGUUGUUGUUGGCCAGUUUUUUUGCCUAUAAGGUUGUUGUUGGCCAGUUUUUUUGCAUAUAAGGUUGUUGUUGGCCAGUGUUAACCUUUUAUGGUUUGAUGCAGAGGUCUAGAGCUGAUAUCAAAUUCUUCUAAUGAUGAUUUUAUUUUUAUCAUGCUAUUCUCACUUUCAAAA
Cicer arietinum (chickpea) is the source of this 3798-nucleotide long non-coding RNA. RefSeq lists it as uncharacterized. The record is from RefSeq and is a predicted model, not a curated record. Lineage: Eukaryota; Viridiplantae; Streptophyta; Magnoliopsida; Fabales; Fabaceae.